RNAcentral lists this ribosomal RNA (232 nucleotides) under Rickettsiales bacterium. RNAcentral describes it as "partial 16S ribosomal RNA". It matches the Rfam family "Bacterial small subunit ribosomal RNA", at positions 1 to 218 of the family's 1533-position model. The record is from RNAcentral. Lineage: Bacteria; Pseudomonadati; Pseudomonadota; Alphaproteobacteria; Rickettsiales.
AAACUUGAGAGUUUGAUCCUGGCUCAGAACGAACGCUGGCGGCAGGUCUUAGGCAUGCAAGUCGAACGGGUGUAGCAAUACAUCAGUGGCGCACGAGUGAGUAACGCGUGGGAAGCUGCCCUUCACUGGGGAAUAACGUUUGGAAACGAACGCUAAUACCGCAUACGCCUGACCACUUAAAUUUUUUUAUCAUAAUAGAUUUUGCGAACGCAAAACCGGAAAAUUUAAGCGG